This 75-nucleotide small RNA is filed under the name Amantichitinum ursilacus. RNAcentral's name for it is "Neisseriaceae bacterium IGB-41 Xanthomonas sRNA sX9". It matches the Rfam family "Xanthomonas sRNA sX9". Lineage: Bacteria; Pseudomonadati; Pseudomonadota; Betaproteobacteria; Neisseriales; Chitinibacteraceae. The record is from Rfam by way of RNAcentral.
ACGUACAAAACGUACGCUCCGGUUGUUGCGCGCUGGCCGUACCCAGCCUGCACCCGCUCGCUACGCCGGCUGACC